UACAGAGGGGGCAAGCGUUGUUCGGAAUUACUGGGCGUAAAGGGUUUGUAGGUGGCUUGCUAAGUCAGACGUGAAAUCCCUCAGCUUAACUGGGGAACUGCGUCUGAUACUGGCGAGCUUGAGUGCAGGAGAGGAACGCGGAAUUCCAGGUGUAGCGGUGAAAUGCGUAGAUAUCUGGAGGAACACCGGUGGCGAAGGCGGCAUCCUGGACCAAUAUUGACGCUGAGGAGCGAAAGCCAGGGGAGCAAACGGG
This 253-nucleotide ribosomal RNA is filed under the name uncultured bacterium. RNAcentral describes it as "partial 16S ribosomal RNA". It matches the Rfam family "Bacterial small subunit ribosomal RNA", at positions 524 to 776 of the family's 1533-position model. The record is from RNAcentral.